RNAcentral lists this non-coding RNA (226 nucleotides) under Jeotgalibacillus malaysiensis. RNAcentral's name for it is "T-box sequence". It matches the Rfam family "T-box leader". From Rfam's summary of the family: Uncharged tRNA acts as the effector for transcription antitermination of genes in the T-box leader family. T-boxes are found upstream of many aminoacyl-tRNA synthetase genes and some amino acid biosynthetic genes usually in Gram-positive bacteria. Lineage: Bacteria; Bacillati; Bacillota; Bacilli; Caryophanales; Caryophanaceae. The record is from RNAcentral.
AGAUCAACUGUGAUGGGAACAGUACGCUGAUGAUAUACCUGCACUAGCGAUUCGGGGAUGGUGAAAGCCCGGAGCAGAAUGUCAGCGGAAGAUCAUCCCUGAGUUUUCAGGCUGAAUGAAGUAAGUCUGAACGUGUGACAGCGUUACCCGUUACUUAAGUGGAAAAAGUCUGAUCUUUUUCUAUAAGGGUGGUACCGCGUGAAGCACAAGCUCUCUCGUCCCUUUA